UAUUUCCAAUUGUUGCUAUUAUUGCAAUCCAUAACAAUAUGGCAUCAUUUGAAGAACGGGAUGUCUCUUCUGGUGGAUUCUGCAUGGACGAAGCUGCAUGGACGUUGGCUGAUGAGUUAAACAAGGAGUACUCUGUACUAAAGUCCUCGUUGGAGCUGGAAGAGUCUCCCCUGGCUCACUGAGUGCAGGCUCUACAGUCUCAUGGCAUCGACGAGUGUGUUGUUAAAAGAAGAAAUGACAGAGG
Molecule: long non-coding RNA, 244 nt
Organism: Manacus vitellinus (golden-collared manakin)
Lineage: Eukaryota; Metazoa; Chordata; Aves; Passeriformes; Pipridae
Exons: 3
Source: RefSeq, a predicted model, not a curated record